Ribosomal RNA from Sinocyclocheilus grahami, 115 nucleotides. NCBI's taxonomy places the organism in Eukaryota, Metazoa, Chordata, Actinopteri, Cypriniformes, Cyprinidae. The record is from Ensembl.
UUAAAAUGCCAUAUCACCCUGCAGCCCAAGACUGGUCUCCCACUGAAGCUGAGCAGCGUUGAGCUGGUCAGUAGCUGGAUGGGAGACUCCUGGGAACGCUGUGUUGCUGCUGGAA